UACGUAGGGGGCGAGCGUUGUCCGGAAUUAUUGGGCGUAAAGAGCUCGUAGGCGGUCUGUUACGUCCGCUGUGAAAACCCAGGGCUUAACCCUGGGCUUGCAGUGGAUACGGAUAGACUAGAGGCAGGUAGGGGAGAAUGGAAUUCCCGGUGUAGCGGUGAAAUGCGCAGAUAUCGGGAGGAACACCGGUGGCGAAGGCGGUUCUCUGGGCCUGACCUGACGCUGAGGAGCGAAAGCGUGGGGAGCGAACAGG
This 253-nucleotide ribosomal RNA is filed under the name uncultured prokaryote. RNAcentral describes it as "partial 16S ribosomal RNA". It matches the Rfam family "Bacterial small subunit ribosomal RNA", at positions 524 to 776 of the family's 1533-position model. The record is from RNAcentral.